UUCCCCCUAUGAUUGCCAAUAGGAGCAUUCUUUUCCCUAGUAGAUGUUCCAUAGCUUAAAGAAGCCGGAGAAUCAGAUGCAAGGCGGUAAUUGAUACUCUCAUAAAUAUCCUCGAGAAAAUAAGUUGAAACAGGAUGUGUUCGUCCUUGAGCAGUAAUUACAGGGCAGUUACCAAAGUAAUGAGAAAACAAAUGUGAAUCUACUGUCGCAGACAUGAGUAUAACUUUCAGUUUUG
RNAcentral lists this unclassified non-coding RNA (235 nucleotides) under Hevea brasiliensis (rubber tree). The record is from RNAcentral. Lineage: Eukaryota; Viridiplantae; Streptophyta; Magnoliopsida; Malpighiales; Euphorbiaceae.